This is a long non-coding RNA of Penaeus chinensis, 1083 nucleotides long. RefSeq lists it as uncharacterized. The record is from RefSeq and is a predicted model, not a curated record. The transcript has 2 exons. NCBI's taxonomy places the organism in Eukaryota, Metazoa, Arthropoda, Malacostraca, Decapoda, Penaeidae.
CCGGUCAAACGUCAUACGACAUAGGGUUAUAGAAAGGAAACUAUUUGCCGUAAGAGACGAUACGAAUCGUAUGUUUAUAAUUAUUGUUGUAUUACGGUUUAUUUCAAAUAUGUUAUGGAGUCAUUUAUAUGUUUAUUUGGUAUGUGAUAUCGUUUUCUAUAGAUAUUUAAACUUAUUUAUUUUGUCUAAUGGUUUGUUUAAUACUGAAAGAAAAAAAAGUUGACGAUUUCCUUUCUUGCAUAAGGUUCAACAGCAAGUUUUUUUUUUUUUUUUUUUUUUUUUUUUGUGAUUUCAAUAUUUUGAAUAGUUGGAUUUAAAUGCGGGAAUGUUUCAUGUUUCAUUAUGUGUAUUACUGCAGAAACAAAAAAUGUAUUUAGCUAUGAACAAUCAAUUCCAAUUCAUUGUGAUAUUACUAAUAUAAGAUAAGUAUGAAAUAGAUGAGCACACCCUCAAUCGUUUUCUAUAGAGUACGACAUCUAUAGGGAAUUUGCAUAACUAACUUUCUGUAAACACUAGAAGCCAUUUUGUUACUCAAAGAAACCUUGUGAGGUGUCUGAGUUUAACGGAAGAUAGGGAAGAAAUGGGUAAAUGGGAUAAACAUGAAUGGUAAUGAAAUACAUGUAAAGAGAACAAAGCAAGAUGUAUUCAAGAUGCAAUAAAGUGGCACAAAUAUCCCCCAAGUGUUUCCAGUGAAACCCACCGGUUCUUGGCUCUGCUAUACUAUGUCUAAGUUAGAUGUAAUUAUUUGUUUCCUAACUAAUAUUAUAUUGUUAUAAUUAUGAUAGAUAUGAUUCUUUAUUUCGAUGUGUGUUUUCUUGUGUAUUACUAUAUAUUCAUAUAUGUAGUCGAAAGGAAUUAUAUAUGUGUAUUGUCUUCAGUGUUUGCCGCAAAUGCAUUUAUUUGAUGGAUCACCGUGGAAAUAGAUUUAUUUAAUGUACGGGAUUUAUUGUAUUUAUUUUUAGUUUAUUUAUAUCCUAUUAUUCUUUGCAUUUCCUCAUUUCUUAUAGUUAUGAAUUGAGAGGUAUUUAGCAUAUGGAAUAUACUCUAUUUUAUACAAAUUGAUAAUAAAGUUACAACAGCGUA